This 513-nucleotide ribosomal RNA is filed under the name uncultured bacterium. Its description in RNAcentral is "bacterial SSU rRNA". It matches the Rfam family "Bacterial small subunit ribosomal RNA", at positions 15 to 518 of the family's 1533-position model. The record is from RNAcentral.
GAUCUUGGUCAGGAUGAACGCUAGCUACAGGCUUAACACAUGCAAGUCGCGGGGCAGCAUAUAGAUAGCUUGCUAUUAUGAUGGCGACCGGCGCACGGGUGAGUAACGCGUACCCAACCUUCCCCAUAGUAGGGUAUAGCCCGGCGAAAGUCGGAUUAAUCCCCUAUGUUGUUUGAAGCGGACAUCUAAUUCAAACCAAAGAUUCAUCGCUAUGGGAUGGGGAUGCGUCUGAUUAGGUUGCAGGCGGGGUAACGGCCCACCUGGCCGACGAUCAGUAGGGGUUCUGAGAGGAAGGUCCCCCAUACUGGUACUGAGACACGGACCAGACUCCUACGGGAGGCAGCAGUGAGGAAUAUUGGUCAAUGGGCGCGAGCCUGAACCAGCCAAGUAGCGUGCAAGGAUGACGGCCCUACGGGUUGUAAACUGCUUUUAUGCGGGGAUAAAGUGCGGCACGUGUGCCGUUUUGCAGGUACCGCAUGAAUAAGGACCGGCUAAUUCCGUGCCAGCAGCUGC